Long non-coding RNA from Vanessa tameamea, 1081 nucleotides. RefSeq lists it as uncharacterized. The transcript has 3 exons. The record is from RefSeq and is a predicted model, not a curated record. NCBI's taxonomy places the organism in Eukaryota, Metazoa, Arthropoda, Insecta, Lepidoptera, Nymphalidae.
GCCGCCCGACGCCGGCCGGCGUGAACGCCAGUUGUUAGCGCGACAUAGAAAAAGUUUACGCAGUGUGACAUGUUUAAGUGUCGUUGAAUGGUUGUUUUACAAGAUUUUUGAUAAAGGUUCCAUCGACAUCAGACAUGUCCUGAACCAAAGACUUAGAGUAUAUGCACAUAAUGUUAUCUACGCCCUGACGUGAUGCAACUAUUAAUGGUUAACUUCUUAAUCAUGUUUGACGUGGUGUUCGUUUUCUUUCUCUUUCUAAUCGCGGUGACAUGCGUGAUGAAUUACAUGCCCGGACGGAGGCGACAAGAAGUUAUAGAGGAAGAGGUUGAUAAUGACGUUAUUCCUCCGCCGCCGCUGUUCGCUGGCAAUGACGAGAUACCAUGCACCAGCCGAGACACGUACGUUGUUAUACCGCCACCUUUGGACAACAUGAGGUCUAAGGAUGGGUGCCCUAUACACGUCGUUUAGUAUACACGUACUGAUAUUAUCAACGUAGGAGUUUAUUAAAAAGAAGCCUUAUGAAAUCGUAGAAGUCAAAAAGAAAAAAAGAAUCGUAGACGUUUUUUACCAAUUAAUUAAAGAAAUUAUAUGUUAUUGAAAGACUAAAAUGGUGAAAAUUGGGGACUCAAGUGGUGGUCAUUAGUUACGACUAUAUGGAAAAAAAUAAUUUAAAAUGAUACGCGUCAUAUCAAGUAUAAUGAUAUUGAAGUGUUACGAAGUAUUGUGUCAGGUAGACAAAUUUAUUAGUAAAUGAAAUCAAUUAAAAUAUUAAUAUAAAGGAAACAAUGAAAAAGAAAUAACUAUUUAAAAAUAGAUUUAUUUUUAUUGUAUUUUAUUAUAGAUUGUAUUAUUUUAUAGCUUUUUUUGUAACUUCACAUACUUAGAAAGUGAUUAAACACCUCGUAAUCGCUGUUCAUUUGUAAAUGCUUAUUUAAUAUUGAUGUGACUGAAUAGUAGGAUAGUUAAUUGUUAUAUAACAUUAGAUAUGCUGUUUUCUUGAAAUGUAGCUAGUCAUGUUCUUAAAAUUUACUUUAUACAUAAGAAACGCUUACUCAGCGUGAUUUUGUAAGGUAAUUUUCAU